GAUGAAGAACGCAGCGAAAUGCGAUACGUAAUGUGAAUUGCAGAAUUCAGUGAAUCAUCGAGUCUUUGAACGCACAUUGCGCCCCCUGGUAUUCCGGGGGGCAUGCCUGUCCGAGCGUCAUUGCUGCCCUCAAGCACGGCUUGUGUGUUGGGCCUCCGUCCUCCUCCCGGGGGACGGGCCCGAAAGGCAGCGGCGGCACCGCGUCCGGUCCUCGAGCGUAUGGGGCUUCGUCACCCGCUCUUNNNNNNNCGGCCGGCGCUUGCCGACACAUCAAUCUUUUUUCCAGGUUGACCUCGGAUCAGGUAGGGAUACCCGCUGAACUUAAGCAUAUCAUAAGCGGAGGA
Molecule: unclassified non-coding RNA, 344 nt
Filed under: soil metagenome
Description: partial contains 5.8S ribosomal RNA, internal transcribed spacer 2, and large subunit ribosomal RNA
Rfam family: 5.8S ribosomal RNA (bases 1-120)
Source: RNAcentral